This 105-nucleotide ribosomal RNA is filed under the name Triticum aestivum (bread wheat). RNAcentral's name for it is "partial small subunit ribosomal RNA". Lineage: Eukaryota; Viridiplantae; Streptophyta; Magnoliopsida; Poales; Poaceae. The record is from RNAcentral.
AUGCAGAGGCUGUGGAAGGCAUGGGAGUAUGGCAGCCUCGCCGUCUGCUCGUCUUCAGUCUCCAAGUCCAACAAACAUAUGGUGCACUGCUCACCGGGCUCAUAG